Long non-coding RNA from Xiphophorus hellerii (green swordtail), 2270 nucleotides. RefSeq lists it as uncharacterized. Lineage: Eukaryota; Metazoa; Chordata; Actinopteri; Cyprinodontiformes; Poeciliidae. The record is from RefSeq and is a predicted model, not a curated record. The transcript is spliced from 4 exons.
UCGUAAAAGUGGGCGAGGCUUGUUUGGGUUCUUAGCUUUCCGAAGAUGAAAAGAGAUCGUCGAUAAAACACGUAGGGCUUACUGUGCAUAAAAAUCAAGAAGAAGAGGAUAAAAUACGAGUAGGAGACGCACCAAACGUUUUUUACCAACCGCCGUUAAAAAUCAAGAAGCACAAAGAGAUGGAAGUUAUAAACCUGAAUUGGACAAAAUAAGAAUCAGCAGGUCAGACCAACUUGGCUUUAUCUAAUUUUAAUGUGUGCAUAUUCAGACAACCAAGUCGUGCCUACCCCCACCCCCGCCUCCGCCUCCAUCUUGUGAGACCAAGCCACCUAGAGGCUGUUCUCCACCGCGUCCUCAAUAUGCCGCAGUGCCUUUUAUAUGUGAUUCAAGGCAUCCAGUCCAAGAGACAGGCGAUCAGGGAGACAAUUCACAUAACGUCCAGCUGAGCCAGAACACUAGUGCUCCACCCCAGCACACAGACAACAGCACACCUCCACCUCCACAUGGAGAGGAGGACACAGAGACCGACGGGGGGGAAGAAGCAACACCCAGUCCAGGAAACUGACCCCCCACCCCAGGCGUAUGAGAACCCCCAGCCUUCUGAGACCCCAAAUCCUGAAGGAAAUGUCAGUAUGAUGGAUGAAGAUGAUGACAUUCAGCAUUCAAGAAGUGCUUAAGUUGUGUUCAGAAUAUAUACUGUGUUCAGUUGAAAUGAUUAUGCCCAUAGGGACAAAUUAGAGGAAUUGUUUUCCUAUUUUUAGACUGUCUAAAUAUUGGGCUACAGUAAAACCGACACUGUUUUUACUCUGUUCAUAGCAGAUCUUUUCUUUUUAAGAUGUUUUCUUAUCCCACAGAUAAUUAACUGUGGGAUAACUGUGCAAUGUAGAAGUAAAUUUGGGCACACUCGAUAACCUUGAAGCACAUGAUUAGUCAGAGACAUCUUGCUACGGCACAAUGAGCUGUCAGUUUUCUUCUACUUUUCCUUCACUUGCAGUUCCACAGGGGGACAGUUGGCUCAAUUCAUUUUGUGGACAUAAUACCAUUGAGAGCUGUGCAUACAUUUUUUUUUUUUUGUGAUUCUUUUGCUACACGGAGGUAUGAGAAAAUGAACUCUGUCUAUCCCUUUGUGUUUUAGACAUGAGAUGAAGACUGACACACAGCUUCAAGCAUUACUUAUUUGGGCAUUCUGAAAGUGGAACCUUAAAAUUUCAUUAUUUCAUUAAAGAAAUGCCUCUGGAAAGUUUUCAAACAGGUGACCAGACAGGGAACACUGAUAAUUUUGGUUUGGAAAACCAAACCAAAUUUUUCUGGCUUUUACCAAAAGGUCAAAGCCAGAAUAGAAUUGUGGGAGUUUUAUGUAUGUUACCAUAUAUAGGGAGUGAGUGGUGUCAAAUGAAGGACAGAUAGACAAGGAUGCAUAACGCAAACUCUGAAGUUUGGUUUCUCCUCUGUUAAAUUCAUACUAGUCAAAAGUUUUUUUUUUAAAAAAGGCCUGUUUUCCAAGUGAGAGUUGCACAACUUCAGCUUCCACACUUUAAGCUAUUUAAAAAGUAAAAUUACAAAAGGAAUGUCAUUCAUUGCUUUCAAUCUAAUUAAAUUGAAAGGCUGGUAAUUAUGGUAGAGUAUUUAUUUAUUAAAAAUGCACUAAGUUCUAAUGAAAAUUACCUGUGUAACAGCAAACUAUUAUGUCAAGUCAGAAGAUAAAGCUUUAAGUUUUGAGGCAUGGUAAAUGGAUCUUGAUGCUGGAUUAUAAUAAACAAGAGGCUAGAUAAUAAAUAAUAGAUCACCAAAGAAAAGAGUGUCAGAGUUGUGUAAUACCAGAUUUAAAGUGAAUUGUUAUUUUGUUUUUGCAGUGGGUAGUUACUUCUCAGAUUGAAAUUCAUGCUGUUGGUUUAUUUUUAUGUUAAAACAUCUGCUUAGCUCAUAUUUCCAUACUUUAACACACCAUGUGUAAUGCUGGUUGGCUUUGUUUUGUAUUUUUACAUGAUAACUAUGUCUCACUUUGAGAAUUUUUGUUGUUUUAGUUUGUUGAUAUAUUUUUAUUCAAUAUGUACCUUUAGGAUUUAUUUUUUUCCACUGUCACUUGUGGAAAAAAAUAUGCAUGCAUGCAUAGGAUGGGAUAAUGUAUUGAAGUAAAUAAUCGAUACUUUCCUUUAAUUUUCUUUGAAUUGGACUGAGUAGAAAUGUAACUUCUAUUACUUGAGUUUCUCUAAAACAAUAUUUGUUGAGAAAUGACAGUAUAUGAAUAAACUGAAUUAAAUUUUAGACUA